Prunus avium (sweet cherry) is the source of this 972-nucleotide non-coding RNA. The record is from RefSeq and is a predicted model, not a curated record. NCBI's taxonomy places the organism in Eukaryota, Viridiplantae, Streptophyta, Magnoliopsida, Rosales, Rosaceae.
CGAUGAACACACUUGACACCCAUACGACCCUUUUGUCUUCUCUAUGCUAUUGCAGUCGAUAUUGGGUGACAAGAGGAUUGGUUUACUUGUUUUCUCGCUAUGGAUGAAGAAUGGGAUGGCUGCAAUUGGACAGUCCGUUACACCCAAGGCCUUCCAUGUUCAACAUCCAUCUCUCUAGCUAGAUGAUUUAGAAGAUAUGCUGACUGAAGCUAUGCUUUCUCUCAACACUAUGACAGAGGAUGGCAACAUCGAGGAGCUCUGGAGUUUCAGUAGAUAUCAAUGUUUCAUACUUGAAUUCUGCUUACCCUGGUGAGGAGGUUGACGUUGAGGCCAAGGAUUUAUGAGUUGGGAAGGCUGUUGGUGUUGCCAGUGUUGAGUUAAGGAAGAAGAAGACAUGCAAAAUUAUAGCUUAGGGCUGUCAUACCAAGUAUCUUGCUCUCACUAACAAACUUUGAACAGCUUGGAAGUUGAAAUUUUCCUCAGACUUGUAUGGAAUAUUGAGAAGCCUUUUUUACUUAGACUUGUAUAGAAUAUUGAGAAGCCUUUUGGUGUUGUCAGUGUUGAAUUUAGGAAGAAGAAAACAGGGGAAACAUUGUUGUCAACUGGCACUUCUCUCUACACUCAAUAAAGUGUGAACUUUGAACCAACAAUUCAGUGUUCCCAUUUACAAAUUUUGCUCAUGCUUAUAGUUCGAAGAGUUUCACAUGCAAACAAUGCUCAAUAGCAUCUCUCCUCAGACUGAUACUAAUUUGAAAAAGUUGCCAAAAACCACAAGAUUCAAUUGCUUAACUUAUAGAUCGUAACAUGAUACAACUGAUUCAUGAAAUCACGACUAUAAAAAAACCACAAGACUCAAUAGCAUCUCUUCUCAUUUGACAGUUGCAUAUCACCAUGACUGCCACAUUGAGACUUUGUGCCUUCUUCAAAUACAGGUGCAUAACCCUGAUUUUACAUGAUAUUAGAUUUGUUUGG